RNAcentral lists this ribosomal RNA (399 nucleotides) under uncultured soil bacterium. RNAcentral describes it as "bacterial SSU rRNA". It matches the Rfam family "Bacterial small subunit ribosomal RNA", at positions 975 to 1375 of the family's 1533-position model. The record is from RNAcentral.
CCAGGCUUGAACAGCGAGUGACCACUCCUGAAAGGGAGCUUCCGCAAGGACACUCGUAGAGGUGCUGCAUGGCUGUCGUCAGCUCGUGUCGUGAGAUGUUGGGUUAAGUCCCGCAACGAGCGCAACCCUUGUCUUCUGUUGCCAUCAGGUUAUGCUGGGCACUCUGGAGAGACUGCCGGUGAUAAACCGGAGGAAGGUGGGGAUGACAUCAAGUCAGCAUGGCCUUUAUGUCUGGGGCUACACACGUGCUACAAUGGCCGGCACAAACCGUCGCGAGCCCGCAAGGGGGAGCUAAUCGGAGAAAGUCGGUCUCAGUUCGGAUCGUCGGCUGCAACUCGCCGGCGUGAAGUUGGAAUCGCUAGUAAUCGCGGAUCAGCACGCCGCGGUGAAUACGUUCCC